RNAcentral lists this ribosomal RNA (468 nucleotides) under uncultured bacterium. Its description in RNAcentral is "partial 16S ribosomal RNA". It matches the Rfam family "Bacterial small subunit ribosomal RNA", at positions 28 to 507 of the family's 1533-position model. The record is from RNAcentral.
GACGAACGCUGGCGGCGUGCUUAACACAUGCAAGUCGAACGGAAAGGCCCUGCUUUUGUGGGGUGCUCGAGUGGCGAACGGGUGAGUAACACGUGAGUAACCUGCCCUUGACUUUGGGAUAACUUCAGGAAACUGGGGCUAAUACCGGAUAGGAGCUCCUGCUGCAUGGUGGGGGUUGGAAAGUUUCGGCGGUUGGGGAUGGACUCGCGGCUUAUCAGCUUGUUGGUGGGGUAGUGGCUUACCAAGGCUUUGACGGGUAGCCGGCCUGAGAGGGUGACCGGGCAAAAUGGGAACGGGGAAACGGCCAAAACUCUAAGGGGAGGAAGAGGGGGGAAUAAUGGAAAAAGGGCGGAAGGCUGAAGGAGGAACGGCGGGGGGGGGAAUAAGGCCUUUGGGGUGGAAAACGCUUUCGCCUGUGACGAAGCGUGAGUGACGGUAAUGGGUAAAGAAGCACCGGCUAACUACGUG